RNAcentral lists this ribosomal RNA (706 nucleotides) under uncultured bacterium. Its description in RNAcentral is "bacterial SSU rRNA". It matches the Rfam family "Bacterial small subunit ribosomal RNA", at positions 130 to 873 of the family's 1533-position model. The record is from RNAcentral.
CCCAAAGUACGGAAUAGCCUCUGGAAACGGAGAGUAAUACCGUAUGUGCCCUUCGGGGAAAGAUUUAUCGCCUUUGGAUUAGCCCGCGUUGGAUUAGGUAGUUGGUGGGGUAAUGGCCUACCAAGCCUACGAUCCAUAGCUGGUUUGAGAGGAUGAUCAGCAACACUGGGACUGAGACACGGCCCAGACUCCUACGGGAGGCAGCAGUGGGGAAUCUUAGACAAUGGGGGAAACCCUGAUCUAGCCAUGCCGCGUGAGUGACGAAGGCCCUAGGGUCGUAAAGCUCUUUCGCCAGGGAUGAUAAUGACAGUACCUGGUAAAGAAACCCCGGCUAACUCCGUGCCAGCAGCCGCGGUAAUACGGAGGGGGUUAGCGUUGUUCGGAAUUACUGGGCGUAAAGCGCGCGUAGGGGAUUAGUCAGUCAGAGGUGAAAUCCCAGGGCUCAACCCUGGAACUGCCUUUGAUACUGCUAGUCUUGAGUUCGAGAGAGGUGAGUGGAAUUCCGAGUGUAGAGGUGAAAUUCGUAGAUAUUCGGAGGAACACCAGUGGCGAAGGGGCUCACUGGCUCGAUACUGACGCUGAGGUGCGAAAGUGUGGGGAGCAAACAGGAUUAGAUACCCUGGUAGUCCACACCGUAAACGAUGAAUGCCAGACGUCGGGCAGUAUACUGUUCGGUGUCACACCCUAACGGAUUAAGCAUUCCGCC